Molecule: ribosomal RNA, 467 nt
Filed under: uncultured bacterium
Lineage: Bacteria
Description: partial 16S ribosomal RNA
Rfam family: Bacterial small subunit ribosomal RNA
Source: RNAcentral
GACGAACGCUGGCGGCGUGCUUAACACAUGCAAGUCGAACGGAAAGGCCUCUUUCGGGGGGUACUCGAGUUGCGAACGGGUGAGUAACACGUGAGUAACCUGCCCUUCACUUUGGGAUAACUUCCGGCAACUGGCGCUAAUACCGACUAGGAGCUCUUUCUACAUGGAUGGUGUUGGAAUGUUUCGGCGGUUGGUGGUGGCCUCGCGGCUUAUCAGCUUGUUGGUGGGGAAGUGGCUUACCAAGGUUUUGACGGGUAGCCGGCCGGAGAGGGUGACCGGCCACAUUGGGACUGAGAUACGGCCCAGACUCCUACGGGUGGCAGCAGUGGGGAAUAUUGCACAAGGGGUGGAAGCCUGAUGCAGCAACGCCGUGUGCGGGAUGACGGUCUUCGGGUUGUAAACCGCUUUCGCUCAUGACGAAGCUUUGUGUGACGGUAGUGGGUAAAGAAGCACCGGCUAACUACGUG